Molecule: ribosomal RNA, 496 nt
Filed under: uncultured bacterium
Lineage: Bacteria
Description: partial 16S ribosomal RNA
Rfam family: Bacterial small subunit ribosomal RNA
Source: RNAcentral
AUGAACGCUGGCGGCGUGCCUAAUACAUGCAAGUCGAGCGAACGGACGAGAAGCUUGCUUCUCUGAUGUUAGCGGCGGACGGGUGAGUAACACGUGGAUAACCUACCUAUAAGACUGGGAUAACUUCGGGAAACCGGAGCUAAUACCGGAUGAUAUUUUGAACCGCAUGGUUCAAAAGUGAAAGACGGUCUUGCUGUCACUUAUAGAUGGAUCCGCGCUGCAUUAGCUAGUUGGUAAGGUAACGGCUUACCAAGGCAACGAUGCAUAGCCGACCUGAGAGGGUGAUCGGCCACACUGGAACUGAGACACGGUCCAGACUCCUACGGGAGGCAGCAGUAGGGAAUCUUCCGCAAUGGGCGAAAGCCUGACGGAGCAACGCCGCGUGAGUGAUGAAGGUCUUCGGAUCGUAAAACUCCGUUAUUAGGGAAGAACAUAUGUGUAAGUAACUGUGCACAUCUUGACGGUACCUAAUCAGAAAGCCACGGCUAACUACGUG